Molecule: ribosomal RNA, 274 nt
Filed under: uncultured bacterium
Lineage: Bacteria
Description: partial 16S ribosomal RNA
Rfam family: Bacterial small subunit ribosomal RNA
Source: RNAcentral
AUACGGAGGGUGCGAGCGUUGUUCGGAAUUAUUGGGCGUAAAGAGCAUGUAGGCGGUCUGUUAAGUCUGGUGUGAAAGCCCGGAGCUCAACUCCAGAAUUGCCCUUGAUACUGGCGAUCUAGAGGCCGGGAGAGGUGAGCGGAAUUCCCAGUGUAGAGGUGAAAUUCGUAGAUAUUGGGAGGAACACCAGUGGCGAAGGCGGCUCACUGGCCCGGUUCUGACGCUGAGACGCGAAAGCGUGGGGAGCAAACAGGAUUAGAAACCCCAGUAGUCC